This 342-nucleotide ribosomal RNA is filed under the name Salmonella enterica subsp. enterica. Its description in RNAcentral is "partial 23S ribosomal RNA". It matches the Rfam family "Bacterial large subunit ribosomal RNA", at positions 911 to 1250 of the family's 2925-position model. The record is from RNAcentral. Lineage: Bacteria; Pseudomonadati; Pseudomonadota; Gammaproteobacteria; Enterobacterales; Enterobacteriaceae.
UGUUUCGGCUAGGGGGCCAUCCCGGCUUACCAACCCGAUGCAAACUGCGAAUACCGGAGAAUGUUAUCACGGGAGACACACGGCGGGUGCUAACGUCCGUCGUGAAGAGGGAAACAACCCAGACCGCCAGCUAAGGUCCCAAAGUCAUGGUUAAGUGGGAAACGAUGUGGGAAGGCCCAGACAGCCAGGAUGUUGGCUUAGAAGCAGCCAUCAUUUAAAGAAAGCGUAAUAGCUCACUGGUCGAGUCGGCCUGCGCGGAAGAUGUAACGGGGCUAAACCAUGCACCGAAGCUGCGGCAGCGACGCUUAUGCGUUGUUGGGUAGGGGAGCGUUCUGUAAGCCG